Long non-coding RNA from Drosophila innubila, 625 nucleotides. RefSeq lists it as uncharacterized. The record is from RefSeq and is a predicted model, not a curated record. The transcript has 4 exons. NCBI's taxonomy places the organism in Eukaryota, Metazoa, Arthropoda, Insecta, Diptera, Drosophilidae.
CACAUCGCUCUCGUUAACACGCGGAUUGAAAUUGUUAAAUCAAAUAAAACAAUUUCUUAAAAUACAUAUACCAUUUAAAUUAAUUUAAACUUAAAAUAAUGUUAGUACUGGAAUUGGCCAGUAUUUAUAAAAAUCAUGCUGGCAUUUACGGCUUUGGCGAUUGACUUUCAGCCAGUUUAUUUGAACCACGUGGUUGUUGAAAUCUUGAAAAUUGUCUUAUUUAUUUAAUAAAUAUGGGCGCUACAUUAGUUCUUCAUUGGAGCCUUGAAAAUGGAACAAUGGAAUUUGGAAUUACACCCCAUAAAAGGAGUGAAUUCUGUAUCUGAUGUAUUUAUGCUAUUGGGAGAAUGAAAGGAAGUGCAGUUAUUAUCAAGCCAGUGAUAAUUAUGUAACUCAAAAAUUAAAAUUUGAAGUGGAAUUACAGCAAAGUUGGAAGUAAGUUUUCUAUUCCAUUCAGAAUCCCAUGUUGUAAUUUUUAUGAUGAUAAUCUCAUACCAAACUCAGAGAAAUUAUGUUGAAAUCUAUUUAACAUGCAUCACCAUCUGAUUCUGUCCACAAAAAACUAUCUUUCUGGUUAAAAAAGUAAGAAACUAAUUGGCUUUUUUUGUUUAUUUUUAGGCGCUUU